GACGAACGCUGGCGGCGUGCUUAACACAUGCACGUCGAACGGAAAGGCCCUGCUUGUGUGGGGUGCUCGAGUGGCGAACGCGUGAGUAACACGUGAGUAACCUGCCCUUGACUUUCGGAUAACCUCAGGAAACUAGGGCUAAUACCGGAUAGGAGCUCCUGCUGCAUGGUUGGGUGUGGAUAGUUUAGGCGGUUGGGGAUGGACUCGCGGCUUAUCAGCUUGUUGGUGAGGUAGUCGCUUACCUAGACUUUGACGGGUAGCCUACCUGAGAGGGUCAGCAGACACAGUAAGACAGAGAUGAGACGCAAACUGCUACGCAAGACAGGAGUGCGGACAAUCAGACAGCGACUGGACGCCAGAAGAAGCAACACCGGGUACGUGAAGACGACCUGCUGGUUGUAAACCGCUUGCGGCUGUGUAGUAGCGGGGUUGAGGGUAAUGGGUAAAGAAGCACCGGCUAAAUACGUG
RNAcentral lists this ribosomal RNA (468 nucleotides) under uncultured bacterium. RNAcentral's name for it is "partial 16S ribosomal RNA". It matches the Rfam family "Bacterial small subunit ribosomal RNA", at positions 28 to 507 of the family's 1533-position model. The record is from RNAcentral.